CCUACGGGUGGCAGCAGUGAGGAAUAUUGGUCAAUGGGCGGGAGCCUGAACCAGCCAAGUCGCGUGAGGGAAGACGGUCCUAUGGAUUGUAAACCUCUUUAGGCGGGGAGCAAUGCCGGGCACGCGUGCCAGGAGGGGGAGUACCCGCAGAAUAAGCAGCGGCUAACUCCGUGCCAGCAGCCGCGGUAAUACGGAGGAUGCGAGCGUUAUCCGGAUUUAUUGGGUUGAAAGGGAGCGUAGAUGGGUUGUUAAGUCAGUUGUGAAAGUGUGCGGCUCAACCGUAAAAUUGCAAUUGAUACUGGCAUCCUUGAGUACAGUUGAGGUAGGCGGAAUUCGUGGUGUAGCGGUGAAAUGCUUAGAUAUCACGAAGAACUCUGAUUGCGAAGGCAGCUUACUAAACUGCCACUGACAUUGAUGCUCGAAAGUGUGGGUAUCAAACAGGAUUAGAUACCCCAGUAGUC
This 461-nucleotide ribosomal RNA is filed under the name uncultured bacterium. RNAcentral describes it as "partial 16S ribosomal RNA". It matches the Rfam family "Bacterial small subunit ribosomal RNA", at positions 338 to 795 of the family's 1533-position model. The record is from RNAcentral.